AGGGUGUUGACAGAGAAGUGACGUAGAUGGUGAGGUUUGGGUUUUUUUUGACAUUUUCGAAACAUUUACCCUAUCAUUCCUUUGGAGUCAUUGCUUUCUUAUUCCUCAUCUUUGGCUUUCCUGAAUAGAGAACUUCUGCAGCAAUGAUUUUUUUUUUUGCAUGUUUAAUUCAAAAUUAUGUUUUUGAUAUUUAUACACUUGUUACUACAUAUAGCAGGUAUCCAUUUACUUUAUUUUAAUAGCUUUAUUGGGGUAUAACUGAUGUAUAAAAAACUGCACACAUUUAAUGCAUCCAAUAUGAUGAUUUUGGACAUAUGCAUACCACCAUGAAACCAUCGGCACGAACAAGCCUCUGAAGACAACCAUUCUAUUCUCUGCUUUGAGUUUGAUGAAUUAGAUACCUCACAUAAGUGGAAUUGGGCAGUAUUUGUCCUGUGACUGAUCAAUUCAAAAUGGAUUACAGACUUAGAAGUCAGACCUGCAGCAAUGUAUUUUUAAGGAGAAACAUUCUGAAAAGAAAGGAGCAUUUUGAACUGUGAAGUUUGUCCCAUCUAAUUGAGAAGCUCAAUGAAAGCAUAAAGGCAGAAAAUGGAAUUAUUGGUAUACGUAAAUAAUAAUUAAAGCCUUUUUUCUAAUUUAUAGAAUAAUGUGUCAUACUCAUAGGCCAUCUUACAUAAAUUAUGGAAUAGUUUUAAACAUAAAAUAUAAUGUCUUCUAUCUAAAAAUUUGGGGCAAAACAGAAAAAAAUUUAAGCAAUUGAUAGGUGGAAAAAUAUAAUACUCUUACGUAUUAUUUAAAAGAACAAUGAGUGGUGAGAUGUGCUAAAUAGGUUGGUGUGAUAAAGACGGCUAAUUGUUCCACUGUGGUCAUUCUGCAUUGCGCACGUGACCAUUUCACAGCCUUCCCUAAAGCUAAGUGUGGCCAUGUAACUAAACGUUGGCAAAUGAAAUAUUGGCCAAAAGUGAUAAGUACAAUUCUGAUUUGCACUCUUUUAAAAAAAAUUUAGCUCUUUAUCUUUUUCUACCACUUAGGAUUUUUUUUUAAUUUUUAUUUUUAAAUGGAAAAAGUGUAUCUUUUCAUUACUUUGAACCAUUUCUUGUCAACUGGCAUAUCAGUCAGGUGAUGAGCCAUUCUGACAAUGUAGAUAAGGAAGGAAGAGCAAAGGACAGUAGGAAUAUUGUCCCUUUCAUAUUCAACUUAUUUAAUUUCAGUUAACAUAUAUUUAAUUAAAACAACUAAAUAGUGAGUAAAAUAAGUAAUUUCAUAAAUUUACAAAAUGCAUUUAUACUAUGGUUUCCAUUAAACUGAAACAGUUUAAAAACCAUGGCAACAUGCUUACUCAGCUUUAGGAGAGUUAGAAAAAAAAAGUGUACCUUCACCUAUAAUUUACUAUAUUUUCAUUUUAGAGAUAAUAACAAUGUUUUCUAGUAUUUUUUCUGCUGAUGUUUUCACAUUUUUGCUAUAUGAAAUAAUAUCAUGCAAUGGAUUAUAAAUAUGGAAACUAAGUAAAAUGCGAAUAAAAAUAUGCCUGUGGUGAUGGACCAGAGAAACAAAGUAAAAUAUUCAUGGAACAAUGGAAAUACUUUCAAUAAGAUGCUAUUCAGGUUAAUAUGAGAAGAUAUUUGACAGACAUUAAUUUACAAAUAAUAGCAUGCAAAAUGCCAGAAUAUAGAGACAUUGAAGUCCACGAACGGAAAUAGGGUGGAAGAUUCUUUGUUGCUCAGAGCCAGUACCUGGGCUCUGGAAUCUCUGCAUUGGAGAUCCGUUAUCCUUUCCACCCUUUCCACACUGCCAUUUUCUGGGAUUAGGAAUAUCUGGCGGGUCAUCUUAAGUAAGACGGAAGAGGCUACCCUACACUAAUAGGGUGAAAUGCUUUCUGAAGUCUCACCUUUUCCUAGCCAUAGAGAACACCUUUUCACUUAGGCUUCUUUCUGAUUCUUCCUCCAACUUUGGCUCAUAGAACAAAAUCCUUUCUGUGUAGGCUCCUUUACAAAUCAUGACUUACCCCUUUACCAGUCUUUCACAUACAUUUUUCAUGAUUUGGAAGGAGAAAUAUGUGUAAGAGGGUGUGAAUAAACUGGAAAUCUCAAUAGAUAAUAAUCUGGUUAAUGAAAUUGCAUUAAAAGAUGUUUUGUUUUUUAAUUAGGAAAUGCAUUUUAUUUAACAUCUAUAUUUGACAUACACUCUUGCUCAAAGUAUAACUAGAAGUUUUGGAGGAAACGUUGAAUAUCUGUCUAAAGAUUUAGCAUUUUAUCAUGAAAACUCAUUAAUUUCACAGUUUAAUUUACAGCAAAUAAUCAAUGUAACAUAACUAGUCUUUGAUAUUUUGGAACAAGUUAAAAAAUACCUGUGACUCUCAUAUCAUAAAAAAUAUGAUCUAUUUAUCAUUAACUACUCUUUACUUUCUUCUGAAAGUAAAUAAUGUAUAUUUUUCUGAAGCCUAAUUUCCCAAUGUUAUGUGUGAAAUUCAGGGGAAAAUAAAUGCCUUACUAGUUCCAUAUACAAUUAUUGAAAAUCUUAAGGAUUAGCCUCUUAAAGUUAAAAUGUACCUUCUGUAAUGACUAAAAUCUCUGUUAUUUCAGUGAACUCACUGUGCGCUCAUAGUAAUGGUAAUGAAUUGCCAAUAUUAAUACUGUCUUAACCUGAAUAAUUUUCCGUGAACAAACAUGGAAAAUAUUCAGUCUUUAUCCAAAGUGAAUCAGAUUAUGGGUAAUUUUUAUUUUUAAGAUUCUAUAAUGUGAAACUCUACUAGAAUGAACCAAAUUGCUAAUGUAUGUACACAAAGAUUAGUAAACUUAUUUACUUUUUAUAAAUACUUUUACUUGUUAUAAAUACUUUUUGAAAUUUAUAUUUCAAAUAAUGCAUUAAAUAUGGUGAUUCUUAAAUUCUUAUGUUGAGUUCAAAUUCAGUGUGAAGGGUCAACUCUGAAUAUCCCCACAGCGGGUUCAUUCUUAAUUGAUAGUGUUUGAAGUAAGUCCCCACAAUCAACACUGAUAUAUAAUGCCAAAUAUAAUUUAAAUAUUUUUUUAAAAGGUAAAGAUACUCCCACCUUCUUCUUUGUCAAUAUGAAGAAUGAUACACCAAUUUAAGAUAAAAUAUGAAGGUCUAAAUUACAUGGCUGAUGCGAGAUCACAGAAUACAACAGCUAAUUUUGUUUUCUUUAUUUUAAAAAUUAAAUUUACAUUUUAAAUAUAAAUAUCAUAAAGUUCAGGAGUGUUCACUAAAUAUAGACGUUAGAAUUUCAAUCUCUACUGUGCUUUUAAAUGGACAUGUUGAUAACAGGGUGGUUGAGAAUUUGCAGUUGAUAUCAAGCUAUUGGCUGUGUUCCGACUGAUUUUAUUCUUAGUAAAAUCAAUAUUUCUUGCUUUUAUUGGGCAGAAAAGCAGGUAAUGAUGAAUCACAUGAAUGUCUUCCUGAUUUAUUUGUAUAACCACAGUCAGUAUAACUGGUCAGUUGUGCUAGCUGACCUAUUUGCCAUCUAAAUGUUUAUGCUCUCUUCUGCAAAGGAUUAAACCACACAGGUGAGAAAUUGUCUUUUACUCUGAAACCAAGCAGCUGUAAAAUAUCCAGAAUCCUGAGGCUGUAUCAAGGGACUGAAGUGAAUGGGUUGACACUGCAGAAGUCUGUCCUGCUACUUUAUUCAGGCAUCUGCCAGGAGACGACUGUCUUUCAAGCAUACACUCUCCAGCCAGACUCAGCAAAUCUGAAGUCAGAGACCUGACAGGCCUUAAUUAGAUUUCCUCCGCAUUGUAUACUCUGAAAAUGACAUUUCUCGUGAAAAAGACUUCCUUCCGAGUGACUUGAAUCCUGGGCUUUUUAGGAGUGGCUGCUCACAGAGGAUUGGGUACAAGUCUUUGUGAAAUGCCUUAGCACAAAUUUCCUUUCAAAAUAGAUGGAUGUUUAGAAAAUGUUACUAUUAUUAAGAUUUAAUUACGUAGUAAAAAGUGAGAACUGUCUUUUUAAUUAAAUAGAUUUAUUAGGUACCCACCGUAUGUAGAUAAUUGUAACAGUCAUUGUGAGAGAUACAAAGAAGAAAAUAAAACAAGAAAUAAG
Vicugna pacos (alpaca) is the source of this 4053-nucleotide non-coding RNA. NCBI's taxonomy places the organism in Eukaryota, Metazoa, Chordata, Mammalia, Artiodactyla, Camelidae. The record is from RefSeq and is a predicted model, not a curated record.